RNAcentral lists this transfer RNA (72 nucleotides) under Camelus bactrianus (Bactrian camel). It matches the Rfam family "tRNA". Rfam says of the family: Transfer RNA (tRNA) molecules are approximately 80 nucleotides in length. Their secondary structure includes four short double-helical elements and three loops (D, anti-codon, and T loops). Lineage: Eukaryota; Metazoa; Chordata; Mammalia; Artiodactyla; Camelidae. The record is from Rfam by way of RNAcentral. RNAcentral also lists the same sequence under 2 other names.
GAGGGGAUAGCUCAGUGGUAGAGCGCAUGCUUAGCAUGCACAAGGUCCUGGGUUCAAUCCCCGGUGCCUCCA